Molecule: microRNA precursor, 152 nt
Organism: Callithrix jacchus (white-tufted-ear marmoset)
Lineage: Eukaryota; Metazoa; Chordata; Mammalia; Primates; Cebidae
Source: Ensembl
AAAAUGCAGAAGCACAGCUAAAAUUUGAGUUUCAGAUAAACAAAUUUUUCUUAGAAUAAGUAUAUCUCCAUGCAACAUUUGGGACAUACUUAUGCUAAAACAUUAUUUGUGUUUCAUCUGAAAUUCAAAUUCAACUGGAUAUCCUGUAUUUU